CGGCGGCGGCGGCUCUGGGCGAGGCGGCGGGGCCUGGGCUCCCGGACGAGGCGGG
This 55-nucleotide microRNA precursor is filed under the name Homo sapiens (human). RNAcentral describes it as "microRNA hsa-mir-10400 precursor". Lineage: Eukaryota; Metazoa; Chordata; Mammalia; Primates; Hominidae. The record is from miRBase by way of RNAcentral.